CUCUUAUUCAGAGUGAUGGAGAUACAUAGGAUCUGUGAAGUCACGGCAACCCCUCUACGGAAGGUGCCUACCUGAGCGAGUAAUGCUGUUAAUUCAGUUCGAACAAUAAGAG
Molecule: non-coding RNA, 112 nt
Filed under: Roseburia sp.
Lineage: Bacteria; Bacillati; Bacillota; Clostridia; Lachnospirales; Lachnospiraceae
Description: SAM-I sequence
Rfam family: SAM riboswitch aptamer (S box leader)
About the family: The SAM riboswitch is found upstream of a number of genes which code for proteins involved in methionine or cysteine biosynthesis in Gram-positive bacteria. The SAM riboswitch acts at the level of transcription termination control. The predicted structure consists of a complex stem-loop region followed by a single stem loop terminator region.
Source: RNAcentral